This 736-nucleotide ribosomal RNA is filed under the name Gilliamella sp. wkB112. RNAcentral's name for it is "bacterial SSU rRNA". It matches the Rfam family "Bacterial small subunit ribosomal RNA", at positions 798 to 1533 of the family's 1533-position model. The record is from RNAcentral. Lineage: Bacteria; Pseudomonadati; Pseudomonadota; Gammaproteobacteria; Orbales; Orbaceae.
CGCUGUAAACGAUGUCGAUUUGGAGUUUGUUGCCUAGAGUGAUGGGCUCCGAAGCUAACGCGAUAAAUCGACCGCCUGGGGAGUACGGCCGCAAGGUUAAAACUCAAAUGAAUUGACGGGGGCCCGCACAAGCGGUGGAGCAUGUGGUUUAAUUCGAUGCAACGCGAAGAACCUUACCUGGUCUUGACAUCCAUAGAAUCUUGCAGAGAUGCGAGAGUGCCUUCGGGAGCUAUGAGACAGGUGCUGCAUGGCUGUCGUCAGCUCGUGUUGUGAAAUGUUGGGUUAAGUCCCGCAACGAGCGCAACCCUUAUCCUUUGUUGCCAUCGAUUCGGUCGGGAACUCAAAGGAGACUGCCGUUGAUAAAGCGGAGGAAGGUGGGGACGACGUCAAGUCAUCAUGGCCCUUACGACCAGGGCUACACACGUGCUACAAUGGCGUAUACAAAGGGAGGCGACCUCGCGAGAGCAAGCGGACCUCAUAAAGUACGUCUAAGUCCGGAUUGGAGUCUGCAACUCGACUCCAUGAAGUCGGAAUCGCUAGUAAUCGUGAAUCAGAAUGUCACGGUGAAUACGUUCCCGGGCCUUGUACACACCGCCCGUCACACCAUGGGAGUGGGUUGCACCAGAAGUAGAUAGCUUAACCUUCGGGAGGGCGUUUACCACGGUGUGAUUCAUGACUGGGGUGAAGUCGUAACAAGGUAACCGUAGGGGAACCUGCGGUUGGAUCACCUCCUUAC